This 89-nucleotide transfer RNA is filed under the name Candidatus Nanosalinarum sp. J07AB56. It matches the Rfam family "tRNA". Rfam says of the family: Transfer RNA (tRNA) molecules are approximately 80 nucleotides in length. Their secondary structure includes four short double-helical elements and three loops (D, anti-codon, and T loops). Lineage: Archaea; Methanobacteriati; Methanobacteriota; Candidatus Nanohaloarchaea. The record is from Rfam by way of RNAcentral.
GCCGGGAUGACUGAGUCUGGCCUAAGGUGCCAGCCUGGAAAGCUGGUGGGGCAUUGCGCCCCUCCUGGGUUCAAAUCCCAGUCCCGGCG